RNAcentral lists this ribosomal RNA (352 nucleotides) under uncultured bacterium. RNAcentral's name for it is "partial 16S ribosomal RNA". It matches the Rfam family "Bacterial small subunit ribosomal RNA", at positions 338 to 682 of the family's 1533-position model. The record is from RNAcentral.
CCUACGGGAGGCAGCAGUAGGGAAUCUUCCACAAUGGGCGAAAGCCUGAUGGAGCAACGCCGCGUGGGUGAAGAAGGUCUUCGGAUCGUAGAACCCUGUUGGUAGAGAAGAAAGUGCGGGAGAGUAACUGUUCACGUGUCGACGGUAUCUAACCAGAAAGCCACGGCUAACUACUUGCCAGCAGCCGCGGUAAUACGUAGGUGGCAAGCGUUAUCCGGAUUGAUUGGGCGUAAAGGGAACGCAGGCGGUCUUUUAAGUCGGAUGUGAAAGCCUUCGGCUUAACCGGAGUAGGGCCUUGGAAACUGGGAGACUUGAGUGCAGGAGAGGAGAGUGGAACUCCAUGUGUAGCCGU